UCCUCCUUCCCCGCAUUAGGGCAGGGAAGCAGCUUGCAUUUACCAGCUCAAGGAGGGAAUGAUAAACCUCAAAAACCAGAACCCUGGAUAUAAACGACAGGUGGGGGAGAACUGGGGAUGAGUGACCCCUCUCCCACCUCGGAACCAGACAGAGACUUCCCAGGCGAGGCAGGCAGAAGAAGGCACAGAAGGAGGCUGCAUGCCACAGUCCCUCCAAGAUGCAAGGGUGAAGUGCUUGAAGCUGGUCUUCUGUCUCCCAUUUUGAACACUUUGAUGCUGGUGUCGCCAGGCUUUUCAGCAUUAUCAAGAGACUUGGUGGUUUUUCAGCCAGCACGGCGGCUCACGCCUGUAAUCUCAGCACUUUGGGAGGCCAAGGUGGGUGGGUCACCUGAGGUCAGGAGUUUGAGACCAGCCUGGCCAACAUGGUGAAAACCCGUCUCUACUAAAAAUACAAAACUAGCUGGGUGUGGUGGCGCACGUCUGUAGUCCCAGCUACUCGGGAGGCUGAGACAGGAGAAUAGCUUGAACCUGGGAGGCAGAGGCUGCAGUGAGCAGAGAUCACACCAGUGCACUCCAGCCUGGGUAAGACAGAGCUUGCACAGUAUGCUGCAGACAGAAUGAUGACCAAACCCAUCCCUACCUUAGAAGCCUAGUCUGGCAGAAGACAGACGUCUCGCAGCCAGUUACAACAGAAGGCAGUGACGGGCACGUUAUUCAUAGCUGGCAUCUCUCUGGAGCCCCACCUUUCUGCCAGGUCCCAAGCAUUCCUGACUCCACUCAAUUCCCGGAACUUUCCAAGGCCCAGUUUCCUUGGUCAUCUUCAUUUUCCAGUUCACAGACAUGGAAACUGAGGAUCAGAGGGGAAUGCACUUUGCUCAAGAUCACCCAACGAAUCCAUGGCAGGGCUGGGAUUCCCGAGCCUGGAGCUCCUAACCUGCUUUCCCUGCUUUGUCACCAUCAGAAACAUCUGUGAAAUGGGCACAAUCAGAAGUGGCUGUGAACAAUCUGUGAACAAAGUCAUCACCCCCUAUCCAACAGAAGGAGAGACGUUUCUUUAAUAAUGAAUUAAAAGCCAGAAGGGGUGAAAAUGAAUGUUCAUCCAGCUCUUACUGUAUGCCAGGAUGGUUUUCAUGUCAAUUUCAUAUUAACUUGUUCUUCUGUAUGUUCCCCAGAUUUUACAAGGUGGGGAUGAUCUUUUCAUUUCACCGAUGGGGCAGCAGACGCAGAAAGGUGAAUGAAGUCUGCACUGUGGCGAGUAGCAGAGCUGGAGCAUGAGCCUGAACCUGUCCUGAUCUGAGGACCUCCUCUCACCAUCGCUCCUUUCUGCCCCAUGCUAACCGGGCACACUUAGCGUUCCUUCAAACCCUGCUCAGUCUGCAGAUGAGAUGCAUUAUUAAUACAGUUGACCCUUAAACAACACAGGGUUAAGGGUGCUGAUCCCCCCACUGCGCACAGACACAAAUCUGCAUAUAACUUUUUACUCCUCAAAACUUAACAGCCAAUAGCCUAAUGUUGACCAGAAGCAUUACUGAGAACAUAAACUGUGGGAUAACACAUAUUUUGGAAUAUAUAUAUAUAUACACAUAUAUGUAUAUAUAUAUGUGUGUGUGUAUAUAUAUAUAUAUAAUGUACCAUAUUCUUACAAUAAAAA
This is a long non-coding RNA of Callithrix jacchus (white-tufted-ear marmoset), 1651 nucleotides long. RefSeq lists it as uncharacterized. Lineage: Eukaryota; Metazoa; Chordata; Mammalia; Primates; Cebidae. The record is from RefSeq and is a predicted model, not a curated record.